CUUGCAUUUCUCUAUAACGGCUUAGAUACAGUGUGGUUUCUUUGUGAUGGUGUCUAAAACUUUCCAUAUUAUUCUACUUGCUGUAGGUAUUUUCACUGAACUCGCACAGUAGAUGCAAGUUAAAGAUGUGCAGGUACAUUGAGAUUCCCAGCGUGUUAUGGCUUUUUGAUUGGGUUGUCUUUUUGCUUUUUCUCUUGGUGGUGAGAGGUGGUGGGGUGGUUUAUAAGUAUAUGAAUUGGGGUUUCCCCAUUUCCAGUUUUUCGAAUUUUAGAUAUAUAACUUUUGAUAUAAAUUACAGCCAGGUGAAAUUUGUACUCAUUAUAUGCUUGCAGUAAAAUUGGUAUCUAACAAAGUGGUAAUUGUAUGAUUUUCCAAAUUUGAUAAACAACUAGCAAUUUGGAAAUUUGGAAAUUAUAAAUAUUUCUAAUCUAUACCUUUCCUAUAUUUGAUCAUUAUGAAGCAAGAAUAUUGACAGAAAAAUUAGUAAUAGAAAAAUAAGAAUGGUGAGCUCUCUUUUCUUUCGUCGCAGUUUAAAUUACAAAAAUGCUUCAUUAUAAAGUAAUCUCAGUAGCAUCAAUGAAGAAUGGUGAAAUUCAUUGAUUAAGUAUUCUAAGAAGAGUUGUCUUAGCAUAUCACAUUGUUUACUGGUAGCAAAUCACAAUCACAUUGUUAAUUCAAAAAUUCAAAUUAUAGCAAUUUUCAUGCUUAGAUAACAUUUGGACAUAAUUAUCAUUGAGUAUUUUUAGGCAUGUUUAGCUUGAUACUGGUAAGUGUUGUCUUCAUGAUUUGAAAUUUAUAUGACCAAUCAUCAAUCAACUUCGAAAGAAAAAUGAAGGCUUCCAUUAUAAAAUAAUUCUAAAUUUUUUGAACCCAAUUUAUAUGUGUUGUUUGAAAUUUUUUUGUUUAAUUACGUCAGUUCUUUUUUUAGAGUAAUUAAACGAAUAACCUAGAAAAAUAACUACCCUUAAUUUUUAAAAUAGAUAUUAUUUAAAUGAUCGAAUAUAAUUUGUUGCAAUUUUAUUGAAUUUUCAUAAAUUAUCAUUUUUUUUAAAAAUAAUUUCGUGAGAUUUCUUUAUAUUCACAUGUAAAUACCUUGGAAAAUAUAAAUUAAUUAUUUUGAAUGCUAAGGAGAAGUUGGAUUUGCACUCUCUCUCUCUCUCUCUUAUACGAGAAGAGGGUUAGGCAAUUUAUAGGAUGAGCAUAGAGAAAAAGAUGAAAGAAUUCUACAUAGAGGUGGCUAGAGGAUUUUGGUGCCUAUUGUUACACCUGGGAAUAAUUUUUGAACCAGUCUAAGCAUAGUUUGGCAUGUUGAUAGUUGAGUUAAGUAAGAUGCGUAGACCAAUUUUUGAUGUUCUUAAUUUAUGCUAUAUUAGUUCAAUGAGAACUUCUCAAAUCUUGGCAGUUUAAUGAACUUAGAGAUAUUAUUUCUUAGAAUUCUCCAAUUAGAUGGCAUGCCUAUACUCCGAUAAACUGCCCAAAUAAAUUAUGGGAUUUUGCUAGAAAUAAUCCUUUAGGUUGGCUACGAGUAACUUGCUUCUUGUCUCCUCUACUAUUAAUAAGUUUCCUAAGAUUUCUACACUCUGUUCCUCUGCUAAUAAAUAGCUUCAUCUUUCCUCUAUCUUUUAUGCUUACAUAUUUUUAUUAGUUCAUUUAUUUAUCUGAAGUUCUGACCAAUUGUAAAGAUUGUGGUGCAAAAAAAUUAUUUAAAACAUUUUUAAUUAUUUUUAUUUUUAUUUUUAAAGAUUGUAUUGCAUAUGGAUUUUUUAAUUAUGAUGAUAUUUUAUCCAUUUUAUCUAGGC
Molecule: long non-coding RNA, 1799 nt
Filed under: Olea europaea subsp. europaea
Lineage: Eukaryota; Viridiplantae; Streptophyta; Magnoliopsida; Lamiales; Oleaceae
Source: RNAcentral